CCGCCGCCCUCCCGCCGGCCCGGCCCCUCAUCAACAGACCCGCUCUAGCCCCACUGCACCGCUCCUCUCUAUGGUGAGGCCGGCCUCGAGACAGGAUGUCCCGCCUUCCCCCUCCUUUCUGAUUCGCGGAGAGCUUUGCUGGCGUUUCGGGGGCUUAGCCGCGAAUUGGCCGAGUUUCUCCCGUUUCCAGUGUCGAGGGAGAGAGGGGUUGGCGAGCGGUGUUGCCGGCGAAGGAGGCGGGGGGAGGGAGAGGGGAGGAGGGGCGAGGAUUAGCCGGAGCCGAGCGGGCGGCGAUAGAUCGGGCGAGGGGAGAGGAGCUGCCGCCGCCACGGACGGCCGGUUGGGCUGCUCUGCCAGCCUGGAGAGAAGGCUGGAGAAGGAAACAUGUCUUCUGAAUCUUUUUGUCUGGCUGCUCAAACUAGGUUUGACUCCAAAUGGUUGAAGACAGACUUACAGUGGAGAGGGAAGGAGGCUUGGACAGAACGUGAAGAGGAAGACAACAAAAAAGGAAAAAUACAUUGAAUGGCUUGAAAAAAGGAAAAACAAUGGGGAGACUUGGGAAAGGACUUACUGUUCCUCCUGUGUAUUUCUUCACUGUUCAUGCAUUGAAAAAGAAACGGGAGAGUGUUUUUUCCAUCUAUUUCUAUUUUUAAAAGAAAAUUUUUUUUUUAGCAUAGUCUUUAAAAUAAAGCAAAGGUUAAUGCAAGAACA
Apteryx owenii (little spotted kiwi) is the source of this 711-nucleotide long non-coding RNA. The record is from Ensembl. NCBI's taxonomy places the organism in Eukaryota, Metazoa, Chordata, Aves, Apterygiformes, Apterygidae.